RNAcentral lists this ribosomal RNA (465 nucleotides) under uncultured Klebsiella sp. RNAcentral's name for it is "bacterial SSU rRNA". It matches the Rfam family "Bacterial small subunit ribosomal RNA", at positions 338 to 795 of the family's 1533-position model. The record is from RNAcentral. Lineage: Bacteria; Pseudomonadati; Pseudomonadota; Gammaproteobacteria; Enterobacterales; Enterobacteriaceae.
CCUACGGGCGGCUGCAGUGGGGAAUAUUGCACAAUGGGCGCAAGCCUGAUGCAGCCAUGCCGCGUGUGUGAAGAAGGCCUUCGGGUUGUAAAGCACUUUCAGCGGGGAGGAAGGCGGUGAGGUUAAUAACCUCAUCGAUUGACGUUACCCGCAGAAGAAGCACCGGCUAACUCCGUGCCAGCAGCCGCGGUAAUACGGAGGGUGCAAGCGUUAAUCGGAAUUACUGGGCGUAAAGCGCACGCAGGCGGUCUGUCAAGUCGGAUGUGAAAUCCCCGGGCUCAACCUGGGAACUGCAUUCGAAACUGGCAGGCUAGAGUCUUGUAGAGGGGGGUAGAAUUCCAGGUGUAGCGGUGAAAUGCGUAGAGAUCUGGAGGAAUACCGGUGGCGAAGGCGGCCCCCUGGACAAAGACUGACGCUCAGGUGCGAAGGCGUGGGGAGCAAACAGGAUUAGAUACCCUAGUAGUC